GGAGCAUUGUCCGAGUGGUUUAAGGUGCAGACCUGCUAAGUCUGUGGUGUGUAUGCAUCCAUUGGUUCGAAUCCAAUAUGCUCCGCCA
Molecule: transfer RNA, 88 nt
Filed under: Caudoviricetes sp.
Lineage: Duplodnaviria; Heunggongvirae; Uroviricota; Caudoviricetes
Description: tRNA-Ser
Rfam family: tRNA
About the family: Transfer RNA (tRNA) molecules are approximately 80 nucleotides in length. Their secondary structure includes four short double-helical elements and three loops (D, anti-codon, and T loops).
Source: RNAcentral